CAGGCCCUCGAUCCGUCCCAGCUUUGGCUUAUGAAGAGCUCUGGGUAGAUGGUGGGUCUAGUUCUACCCUCAGGUCUGGGCGGACUGGGGGCUUCUGAAAUUCUCAUUUGCUCUCAUCCCUGUGGGUCUGGGAAGAGAGAUCAGUCUAAGUGCUGAGCAGCUGGGAAGCACUGCCGAAUUUACAUGGUCCUCGUGCCUGAGCAGAAGGGGCUUGAAACCUGCAUUCUCCACCCUCGAUUUCAAAGCACUGGGCUUUGAUCCUAGCUUGUUUGUCAACAGAAGGGUCUGACCCAUUGAGUCCCAGUGAUGCAUCUGCAAGGCGCUCCGCGGGGAAGCUCACAGCUCGAGGAUGGGAAAUGUAAUUGCAUCUGCCACUCAUCUGGUCCGUGCCCAGACUGUCUGCGCGCUUACACAUCUAGCCGGAUCAAGCUGGGCACACACUUGUAUGCUGUGGUGCUUGUCCUCUGACUGAUAUGCCCCUGCCUCCUGUCUGCCUGGAACACUAGCCAUCUUCAAAGAUUCCAUGCUAAUGCUACCGCCUCCCAGGAAACUUCCAGGACAAUCCUGUCCCAGACCCCCUUUUUCUUGUCAUAUAGAAUUCUUACUGCAUGAAUUAUAUUGCCUUUCAAUGAUUUGUUUACAUGUCUGUUUCUCUUUUCCCUUGUAGUCAAGGACUACAUUCACUCAUUUUUAUCUAUUCAUUUCUAUAUCCAUUUUUAUAUCCUCUGUAUCCAG
This 735-nucleotide long non-coding RNA is filed under the name Bos indicus x Bos taurus (hybrid cattle). Its description in RNAcentral is "lncRNA (ENSBIXG00000023532.1)". The record is from RNAcentral. Lineage: Eukaryota; Metazoa; Chordata; Mammalia; Artiodactyla; Bovidae.